GACGAACGCUGGCGGCGUGCUUAACACAUGCAAGUCGAACGGAAAGGCCUCUUUCGGGGGGUACUCGAGUGGCGAACGGGUGAGUAACACGUGAGUAACCUGCCCUUGACUUUGGGAUAACUUCAGGAAACUGGGGCUAAUACCGGAUAGGAGCUCCUGCUGCAUGGUGGGGGUUGGAAAGUUUCGGCGGUUGGGGAUGGACUCGCGGCUUAUCAGCUUGUUGGUGGGGUAGUGGCUUACCAAGGCUUUGACGGGUAGCCGGCCUGAGAGGGUGACCGGCCACAUUGGGACUGAGAUACGGCCCAGACUCCUACGGGAGGCAGCAGUGGGGAAUAUUGCACAAUGGGUGGAAGCCUGAUGCAGCAACGCCGUGUGCGGGAUGACGGCCUUCGGGUUGUAAACCGCUUUCGCUCAUGACGAAGCUUUGUGUGACGUUAGUGGGUAAAGAAGCACCGGCUAACUACGUG
Molecule: ribosomal RNA, 467 nt
Filed under: uncultured bacterium
Lineage: Bacteria
Description: partial 16S ribosomal RNA
Rfam family: Bacterial small subunit ribosomal RNA
Source: RNAcentral